GAGACAUGAGACCCAUAGGAUAGUUUCUAACUUUUCCUUUAAGCGGCGCGCCUCCGUUUAUGUUUCU
Molecule: transfer RNA, 67 nt
Filed under: Corigetus marmoratus
Lineage: Eukaryota; Metazoa; Arthropoda; Insecta; Coleoptera; Curculionidae
Description: tRNA-Ser
Source: RNAcentral